GGAGAGGUGCCAGAGUGGUCGAAUGGGGCGGUCUCGAAAACCGUUGUCCCUUCGGGGACCCAGGGUUCGAAUCCCUGCCUCUCCG
Molecule: transfer RNA, 85 nt
Filed under: Candidatus Zixiibacteriota bacterium
Lineage: Bacteria; Pseudomonadati; Candidatus Zixiibacteriota
Description: tRNA-Ser
Rfam family: tRNA
About the family: Transfer RNA (tRNA) molecules are approximately 80 nucleotides in length. Their secondary structure includes four short double-helical elements and three loops (D, anti-codon, and T loops).
Source: RNAcentral